Long non-coding RNA from Phymastichus coffea, 974 nucleotides. RefSeq lists it as uncharacterized. The transcript has 5 exons. Lineage: Eukaryota; Metazoa; Arthropoda; Insecta; Hymenoptera; Eulophidae. The record is from RefSeq and is a predicted model, not a curated record.
GCACACGCCAUCUUCAUAACUUCAAGUUCAGUGGUGAGUUUCAAAUUUGAUGUGAGAAACGCAUCUAUACAGUUCUUAUAUCCGUGAUUUACAGCUCCAAUUUUAUUCAACGUGUAACGUAUAAGUUGGUAGACCAAUAGAAUUUAUAUGAACAAAUACUAUUUGAUUUCGGGGAAGGCAUAUUGCAAGGUGUAGUCAAGUUUGCUGAUUUUACAAUUGAAAAUAAUUUUAGAAAUACAGGCUAGAAUGCAAAAGGCUGUAGAUAAUACAAAGCCUUCCUUAAGAAUACAAAGAUUUUAUAGGGAAAAACAAGUGUGCGUUGAAAAAAAUCAUUUAUAAAGACGAAAGAUUUACAAAUUAUAACAUGAUACAUCAGGAAAAUUACUUCCGAAUAAAUUGACUAUACAUAAUUUGACUGAUGAUUGGCUAAAAGCUAUUCAGGUGAUUUGGAAAACUACCCACUUAAAUGCAGAAAACAAUUGUGAUAUAAAUAAAUCAAUGUCGGAUUGUUUUCAAGAAAGAGAAGAACUUUGAUUGCGUUAUCAAGUAGCUGUAAUUAGAAAUGCUAUAAACGAACUUGGAUGUAAAAAAUUACCUUCUGGAUAUGACCUUUCAAUGGAGGAUUCAUUUACUGAGCCAACAAAAACAAAAUCAAAAUUUACAAGAGGACAACAUUUCUAACAUUUCUAAUAGUUUCUUUGGCUUCAACCCAUAAACUUCUGUCUGAUAAACAAGCAUAAUGCCAUUGCUGAAUCAAAUCGUCUAAAGUAAUAAGAAUAGACAUCUGUGAAAAUAACAAAUUUCUUAACGAUGCCCUUAGUGACCUCAGAGGAGCGUUGAUUAUGUUUAACUGAGCUGGCCACAUACUGCGAUAUAAAUCACAUCGCGAUAAACUCCAUCGAUUUGUAAAUGUAUUGUUGGUUAUUGGGUUGUCGUCUUCUAUUGUUCCAAGAAAUCUGCACUUGUAACCUCCA